GCUGUAUAGCUCAGUUGUUUAGAGUGUGGUGCUGAUAAUGCAAAGGUUACAGGUUUGAUCCCCGUAAGGCAGAAGUU
Non-coding RNA from Podarcis lilfordi (Lilford's wall lizard), 77 nucleotides. The record is from the annotation of a GenBank genome assembly. Lineage: Eukaryota; Metazoa; Chordata; Lepidosauria; Squamata; Lacertidae.